RNAcentral lists this ribosomal RNA (467 nucleotides) under uncultured bacterium. RNAcentral's name for it is "partial 16S ribosomal RNA". It matches the Rfam family "Bacterial small subunit ribosomal RNA", at positions 29 to 507 of the family's 1533-position model. The record is from RNAcentral.
ACGAACGCUGGCGGCGUGCUUAACACAUGCAAGUCGAACGGAAAGGCCCUGCUUUUGUGGGGUGCUCGAGUGGCGAACGGGUGAGUAACACGUGAGUAACCUGCCCUUGACUUUGGGAUAACUUCAGGAAACUGGGGCUAAUACCGGAUAGGAGCUCCUGCUGCAUGGUGGGGGUUGGAAAGUUUCGGCGGUUGGGGAUGGACUCGCGGCUUAUCAGCUUGUUGGUGGGGUAGUGGCUUACCAAGGCUUUGACGGGUAGCCGGCCUGAGAGGGUGACCGGCCACAUUGGGACUGAGAUACGGCCCAGACUCCUACGGGAGGCAGCAGUGGGGAAUAUUGCACAAUGGGCGGAAGCCUGAUGCAGCAACGCCGCGUGCGGGAUGACGGCCCUCUGGUUGUAAACCGCUUUCGCCUGUGACGAAGCGUGAGUGACGGUAAUGGGUAAAGAAGCACCGGCUAACUACGUG